UGAUAUAGCUCAGUUGGUAGAGCGCCACCUUGGUAAGGUGGAGGUCACCAGUUCAAAUCUGGUUAUCA
This 68-nucleotide transfer RNA is filed under the name human gut metagenome. It matches the Rfam family "tRNA". From Rfam's summary of the family: Transfer RNA (tRNA) molecules are approximately 80 nucleotides in length. Their secondary structure includes four short double-helical elements and three loops (D, anti-codon, and T loops). The record is from RNAcentral.